RNAcentral lists this long non-coding RNA (513 nucleotides) under Cricetulus griseus (Chinese hamster). RNAcentral's name for it is "lncRNA (ENSCGRG00015029134.1)". Lineage: Eukaryota; Metazoa; Chordata; Mammalia; Rodentia; Cricetidae. The record is from RNAcentral.
CUGGUAGACUGGAGGUGUGCAGAAGAAAGCAAGGCAAAGGCUUGCGUGGGAUUCCUUUGUCUAAGGAGUGUAACAAGGUCCUGAAACAAGACAAUAUGACAACCAUUGUUGAAAGACUUUGGGCCUUAAGAUAUAUAUGCAUUGAGCAGCUUUGGACUAACGGACACAACUCCAAUCGCACAGUACAUAUAGGGUGUGCUUUGACAGCGAAGGAGAAUGAUGAGAUUUGUACAGAAGCAGUAAUGGAGGGCACUGCUCAUUGGGAAGGUUCCAUGUGAGUGAUGGAGAAACUGCAGAGGUUUAGUAGAUUCUACCUCCACUGUGGACUCUGAGACUUCUUCCUGUCCCCUUUCUCCAAGAAGCAGAGCCCUGGAAGUAAGCAGAAGAAGGGGCCUGCAGUGAAAAGAAAGCUGGCAGCAGGUGGAGAUGCAGGUGGCCACCUUUGCCCUUCCUAUGAUGACAAGACUCUAGAAUCAUAGGCAAGAUGAAAAAAAUGGGUCAGCCUUCUUCCAA